This 1700-nucleotide long non-coding RNA is filed under the name Sus scrofa (pig). Its description in RNAcentral is "lncRNA (ENSSSCG00040037652.1)". Lineage: Eukaryota; Metazoa; Chordata; Mammalia; Artiodactyla; Suidae. The record is from RNAcentral.
CCACAGCCACAGCAAUGCCAGGUCCGAGCUGCAUCUGUGACCUGCACCACAGCUCACAGCAACACCAGAUCCUUAACCCACUGAUCGAGGCCAGAGAUCAUACCCACAUCCUCAUGAAUAUUAGUCGGGUUUGUAACCCGCUGAGCCACAGUGGGAACUCCCCACUCAGCACUUUUGAAUUCAUGACGUCCAAUUAACUUCAGAGAAACAAGGAAUACAGCCUAAGAAAAUACAGUAUGUAUCCAGGGGAGGGUUUCAAAACUACAAAUCUGCUGUAUCCAACUCCUGAACCUUUCGAAGUAUAGGCGCUCUUUGCCCGGAGAGCAAUUUAGUCCUGCAGAAGACAGCUCUGUCCUGGGGCCUGACGAUUGUCAGUAACAAGGCGUGAGCAUCAGCCUAAGUCCCAACUUCAAAAGAAAUAUAAGCACCGUGUCCCUAAACUCUCCGACCAGAUCAGCACUGGGUCCCCAGGUGGACGAGGAGUCACGUCCCAUCCCCAGUUGCCCCCAAACCACGCAUUCCUCUCACUGUCCGCAGCGGUCCUUUGCAUAUGGUUUAACCUAAACCAGGGUCCUUUAUAAAAGGGCUUGUGUUUAACUUUAUUCUCUUUCAUUCCAGUGCUUUCUUCCAGCUACCCAAUCUGUCCCUAAUUAAAAUCAUAUGGAGGCAAACGUUGACUGGUAUGAAAAGUUUUACCAUAUGUAUACAAUUGACGGGCUGUAGAAUUUGGCAUGUCUGCAGUGAUCCCAUGAAGAGGGGCGAGCCUGGCUUAUUUUGGAGUGUAUGUUAUGUGUUUUGGAACCAUCCUGUGUUUGAACGUCGACCAAGACUGCCUGUGACGCUUAACCCUUUGUCGACGUCCAGCACCUACAUGUCAGUAGGGCCAUUGCACCCACGCCUGAAAAUGAUCUGGCGCCUGAAGGAAGGCUUCUUGGAAAAGUUUCCAUUUUCUGAACCCAAGUGAGCUUUCCCAGUCUCGGCAAACAAAGGCUACGCAGAUGCCAUCGGAGCCUCCGGGAUGGAGUGGAACUGAUGGAGUCAUCGCUUCCCAAUCCUAAAGGCAGAAGGCACUCCCCGAAGCUUGAAAGAGGUAAUUUUAGGACAAAAAGAGGAAGCGCUGCGCUACUGUUGAUAAUAAAAAUAUGAAACGUAUGUCCCAAGAGAUAGCAGAUAAAAUAUAAAGGGAUUCAAGGAGUUUAGCAAAGGUCAUGCUGACAGAUCCACCUUUGAAGAACAUUCCAGACAUUCUGGAGACCGGGGAAGGAAAACAUAUCUUUCCACCUUAUCACAUACCCCACUCCACCCACUGGCCUGCACCACAGUAAAAAGCUUGAGGAGAAAGAAUCUGAGUUCAGAUGGGCCUCUGGUCUGACUCUGGGUCACUGUACUCAGACUUGAUCUACUUUGUAAUUAAUAUAGCUGUAAAGUUGCAAUUUUGCUUUAAGGCAUUCUUCGAUAUAGAUUUCAGAAUGAAUUAAAACGUCUCUCUUGGAGUUCCCGUCGUGGCUCAGCAGUUAGCCUGACUAGCAUCCAUGAGGAUGCGGAUUUGAUUCCUGGCCUCGCUCACUGGGUGAAGGAUCUGGCCUUGCUCUGAGCUGUGGUGUAGGUGGCAGAUGUGGCUCAGAUCUGGCAUUGCUUCGCUGUGGCUGUGGCGUGGGCUGGCGGCUAUAGCUCCAGUUCAGCCCCUAGCCUGGGAACCU